CCCACAGGCAUUGCCUUAGUAGCGGCGAGUGAGCGGCAGAGCUCAAUUUGAAAUCUGGUACUUUCAGUAUCCGAGUUGUAAUUUGAAGAAAGUUAUCUUGGAGUUGGCCCUUGUCUAUGUUCCUUGGAACAGGACGUCACAGAGGGUGAGAAUCCCGUGCGAUGGGGUGCCCAUUCUAUGUAAGAUACUUUCGACGAGUCGAGUUGUUUGGGAAUGCAGCUCUAAGUGGGUGGUAAAUUCCAUCUAAAGCUAAAUAUUGGCGAGAGACCGAUAGCGAACAAGUACAGUGAUGGAAAGAUGAAAAGAACUUUGAAAAGAGAGUGAAAAAGUACGUGAAAUUUGUUGAAAGGGAAGGGUAUUUGAUCAGACUGAUAUUCAGUUAACACUGGUUCCUUGGGGGAUGGUUGCUCCUAGCUUUUUUAUUGGGCCAGGCAUCAGUUUAAGGUGGCAGGAUAAAGACUGGUGAACCGUGGCUCUUCCGGAGGGGUAUAGCUUCAGUUGUACCGGCUUUCUAAACGGGGGUCUCGGGCUUUUCCAAGAAGGUGGGGGAAAGGGCUAAAACCCCCCCCCUGAAACCACGCACCAC
This 586-nucleotide ribosomal RNA is filed under the name [Candida] boidinii. RNAcentral's name for it is "eukaryotic LSU rRNA". It matches the Rfam family "Eukaryotic large subunit ribosomal RNA", at positions 65 to 669 of the family's 3401-position model. The record is from RNAcentral. Lineage: Eukaryota; Fungi; Ascomycota; Pichiomycetes; Pichiales; Pichiaceae.